RNAcentral lists this ribosomal RNA (429 nucleotides) under Chloroflexota bacterium. Its description in RNAcentral is "Chloroflexi bacterium partial 16S ribosomal RNA". It matches the Rfam family "Bacterial small subunit ribosomal RNA", at positions 355 to 776 of the family's 1533-position model. Lineage: Bacteria; Bacillati; Chloroflexota. The record is from RNAcentral.
UGGGGAAUAUUGCACAAUGGGCGCAAGCCUGAUGCAGCCAUGCCGCGUGUAUGAAGAAGGCCUUCGGGUUGUAAAGUACUUUCAGCGGGGAGGAAGGGAGUAAAGUUAAUACCUUUGCUCAUUGACGUUACCCGCAGAAGAAGCACCGGCUAACUCCGUGCCAGCAGCCGCGGUAAUACGGAGGGUGCAAGCGUUAAUCGGAAUUACUGGGCGUAAAGCGCACGCAGGCGGUUUGUUAAGUCAGAUGUGAAAUCCCCGGGCUCAACCUGGGAAGUGCUUCUUACACUGGCAAGCUUGAGUCUCGUAGAGGGGGGUAGAAUUCCAGGUGUGGCGGUGGACUGCGUAGAGAUCUGGAGGAAUACCGGUGGCGAAGGCGGCCCCCUGGUCGAGGACUGACGCUCAGGUGCGAAAGCGUGGGGAGCAAACAGG